GAUGAACGCUGGCGGCGUGCCUAACACAUGCAAGUCGAGCGACAGGACGGGCUGCUUGCUCGCCUGACGUUAGCGGCGGGCGGGUGAGUCAUCGGUGGAUACCCUGCCUAUUGGACUGGGAUGGCUUCGGGCGACCGGAUCCAGUACACGACCAUAUAUUGAACCGGAGGGUUCAUUAGUGCUCGCGGUUUUUGCGGUCCCUUAUAGCUGGUUCCGCGUUGGAUUAGCUAGUUGGUAAGGUAAAGGCCUACCAAGGCGACGAUGCGUAGCCGACCUGAGAGGAUGAUCAGCCACACUGGAACUGAGACACGGUCCAGACUCCUACGGGAGGCAGCAGUGGGGAAUCUUGCACAAUGGGCGAAAGCUUGACGCAGCAACGCCGCGUGAGUGAUGAAGGUCUUCGGGUCGUAAAGCUCUUUUGUUGGGAAAGAACAAAAGUGUAAGUAACUCUGCACGUCAUGACGGUACCUAAAGAAAAAGCCACGGCUAACUACGUG
RNAcentral lists this ribosomal RNA (497 nucleotides) under uncultured bacterium. RNAcentral's name for it is "partial 16S ribosomal RNA". It matches the Rfam family "Bacterial small subunit ribosomal RNA", at positions 28 to 507 of the family's 1533-position model. The record is from RNAcentral.